Molecule: unclassified non-coding RNA, 2361 nt
Filed under: Hevea brasiliensis (rubber tree)
Lineage: Eukaryota; Viridiplantae; Streptophyta; Magnoliopsida; Malpighiales; Euphorbiaceae
Source: RNAcentral
CAGUCUUCACCGCCACCAUCAUCACGCCAUCGACGAAGCAAUUGCUCUUGUUUUAACUUACUUUUCCCGUUUAGAAACCAAGAAUCCAUCCAACCUAUCAGAGCUUAUAUUCUCGUCCUUCUGCACCGAUUCGGAAGUUGAUAAUUUCACGUAUAAAAAUAAUGUCAGCUAGGUUGCUGAAGAAAGUCUUGAAAGAACAGGAGCGCCAGCUGCAGCACCACGAAGUAGAAGAGGAAGCAGAAUCUUCUGAUUCGUCCAGUCUCCCUGCCAUAAAUCCUUUCGACCUCCUUAACGACGAUGACUCUGAUCAGGAGAAUGAGUCAGAAAUUACUGAUGAAUCCUUGAUGGGAAACAAUUACAAACAAGAACCCUCUGCGACGGAAAGCUUGGCUAGUGUAGUGUCAUCAUCCAGUCAGAAAUCCAAGAAAAAGAAGAAGAAGAAAAACAAGGCAGCCCCAUCUUCAAGUACAAAUAAAGGUGAAAAACUAUUGGAUGAUGCACUAGAAACUGUGUCCUUGGAUGUUAAUUCUUCAAGAAAUCAACCUGACCCUGUCAAAACCGGACUAGAAAAUGCAAAACUUCGUGAAGAGUUUACUAAGCAAUGUGCGCCAUCCAUCCUACAAGUGGAUCCCAAAUGUCUAAAUCCUGAGAACGAGUUGCGAAGAAUUUUUGGUUCUAAGGUGGUGAAAUCUUUUGUGAGAAGUAAUCAAGCCAGCAGUUCUAGGCAGGUUCGUGGGGCAAGACGUGGAAGCCAUCAUACCAGAAAGACUAUUCUAGUCUCUCCAUCAGAACAUUGGCCUCGCUGGGAUGGAUCUCUAUCUAUGGAAUUUUUGGAGACUAGGGAUGGAUAUCAUCAUUUUAGGUAUGUGCGCUCAUUUUCCUAUGAUCAAGCUCAAAGAGCAUUUGAAGCUGCCAAAGCUAUUCAUGAUCUAAAUGGCAUAGCAAGCAUUUUGUUAUACAACCCAUAUCAUUUAGAUUCACUUAUAACAAUGGCAGACUAUUUCAAAUUUGUGGGUGAACAUCAAAUGUCAGCUGAUGCUAUUGCAAAGAGUUUGUACGCCUUGGAAUGUGCAUGGCAUCCCAUGUUCACCCUCUUGCAAGGCAAUUGCCAGUUGAAGAUCAGCCAUGAAACAAACAAGCCAAUAUUCACAACACUUUUCACUCACAUGAAAAACAUGGAUAGGCGUGGAUGCCAUCGAUCUGCUCUUGAAGUAUGCAAAUUAUUGCUUUCACUGGAUUUAGAUGAUCCAAUGGGGGCGUUGUUCUGUAUUGACUACUUUAGUUUGAGGGCAGAGGAGUAUGCAUGGUUGGAACGAUUUUCAGAAGACUAUAAAGGUGAUAAUUCCUUAUGGUUGUUUCCAAAUUUCUCAUAUUCCCUUGCAAUAUGCCGACUUUAUCUUGAGCGAGAGGAACCUGCAAAGGAUACUUCUGUGCUUGCUACAAAGUCUACUUCAGUAGAUUUGAUGAAGCAGGCAUUGAUGCUUCACCCUUCUGUUCUUAAAAAGCUUGUAGACAAGGUACCUUUAAAAGAUCAGGCAUGGGCCAAUAUGCUAAAGCAUGCUUUUUUUAGAUCAGAGAAAACGGGGUCCCCAUCUUUGGACCAUCUUAUCAAUAUAUACAUAGAGAGAAGUUAUAUCAUAUGGAGGCUUCCAGAUUUGCAGAAGUUGCUUCGUGAUGCAGCUUUGCAAGUAAUUGAAACUCUAGAACAUAAAAGCAGUGAAGCUAGGGAUUGGGCUUGUGUGCGAAAAGAGGCUUUCUCAUCUGAGAACAAUGAGUAUAGCCAUUUGCUGGUUUCAGAUUUUUCUGAUACUGUACCAACUCUUCCACCGGAGAACCUGCAAAAUUUCAUGGUUGAUCCAAGGCUGAGGGAAGCUGAGCAAAAUGGAGGCCAAAUUGCCAAUCUACCUGCUGGUGGUCCUGCUCCACGUGAUGUUGCAAAUCGCCAUGCAUUGGCUGUUUUGUUCGAGUCAAUGUUGCCAUGGGUUCACUAUGGGGCUGGAGAAGAUGUAGGAGCCAAUGUAGAGAACCAAGUUAAUGGACAUGACCAAAGGAACGAGGACUGAAUUAGCAAUUUAAUGUGCUUGCUCUAGCAGAUGGGAAAUGAGGCAGGAGGGAACUUUGGCUUUUCUUACAUUAUGUUGAUAUCAUCCAUAUGUAGAUAUUUUCUUUUUGCUGGAGUCAGCAAGUUGAAAAUUGCUGCACUAUGAUGAGAACAUAACAAAUCUAUUCUUAAUACAUCACUGAUACGGAUAAAUUCCCUUUCUACUGCUGAAUUCAAACUGCAUGUUAAGAGGUACUUCGAUUCCAGCAAAAUUGUUCUAUGAAUUCGUUAUGUUAAAAAUAAUAAUAAUAAUAAUAACA